UAAUAAGUGUUUUAUGGCACUUUUUAAAUCCAUAUCCACCUUGUGUGCAAUGUCAGUCGAUCUUCUUCAUGGAGAUCGACCAAACAUCAACCUUUAUUUUUUAACUCUUUGUCUGAAAAAUAUUACGAAUAAACAAUUCAAAAUA
RNAcentral lists this unclassified non-coding RNA (145 nucleotides) under soil metagenome. Its description in RNAcentral is "partial internal transcribed spacer 1". The record is from RNAcentral.